CAGGAGAGUGUUCAAGACGGGAAUCUCAUCCAAGUUAGCUCAGAAGCCUUUGAAGUGGGAAUGCAGUUUAUAGUCCUCUGGUAAUUCCUUCCUUGAUAGGAUGGGGAUAAGGCAUUUUGCUGUUGGGCUGUUGGUUUUUUUUUUUCCUCUCUGAAUGGAAAAUGACCACCAUUAGAAGAGGGAAGACUGCACCGACCCUGAGUGCAGUUCCUAGCCUCAAGAGGGAGUGAAGAUGAGUCCAGCAGCUGAUCACCCAACACUGCUCUACAGCCAGCUUGCCUCUUUACCCCACACUGAAAGCGAAAGACCUACCACUGCCAUGACCAGAUACAUAGCAUUGAAUGGAGCUUUUCCCUUUUGUGCCUCACUGUCCUCAUCCUCUGUCUCCCUUUCCAAUUAAACCAUGGGAACUUCAAAGGCUCUUCUCUAGCCCAGGUUAACGGAUACAGUCCUAGAAGUGUGCUGAGGCCUUUAGGAGCUACAAUACCAAAGUCCUUCAGGAUUUUUUUUUGUUUCCAGACUGCAGUCCAGCAAAGCUCUUGUUUGAAAAAAUGAAGGAUUCCAACCAAGCCUCAACUACAAACUGCCUUGUUAGAAGAUGCAGUUCUCUGAAAUGCAAUGACAAACAAUAAAUAAUCAUCUGUAGUAAAA
This is a long non-coding RNA of Centrocercus urophasianus (Greater sage-grouse), 651 nucleotides long. RefSeq lists it as uncharacterized. The transcript has 2 exons. Lineage: Eukaryota; Metazoa; Chordata; Aves; Galliformes; Phasianidae. The record is from RefSeq and is a predicted model, not a curated record.